This 99-nucleotide ribosomal RNA is filed under the name Acanthosepion pharaonis. The record is from RNAcentral. Lineage: Eukaryota; Metazoa; Mollusca; Cephalopoda; Sepiida; Sepiidae.
AUUGAAACAACGGUUCCCGUACGAUCACCAAAGUUAAGUCCCGCCGAGCCUUGUCAGUACCUAGAUUGGUGACCGCUUGGUAAUACCAGGUGCUGUAAG